Molecule: ribosomal RNA, 355 nt
Filed under: uncultured bacterium
Lineage: Bacteria
Description: bacterial SSU rRNA
Rfam family: Bacterial small subunit ribosomal RNA
Source: RNAcentral
GGUGUUGCAUGGCUGUCGUCAGCUCGUGUCGUGAGAUGUUGGGUUAAGUCCCGCAACGAGCGCAACCCUCAUCCUUAGUUACCNNNNGGUAAUGCUGGGGACUUUAAGGAAACUGCCAGUGAUAAACUGGAGGAAGGUGGGGAUGAUGUCAAGUCAUCAUGGCCCUUAUGGAGUGGGCUACACACGUGCUACAAUGGUGGCUACAAUGGGCUGCAAAGUCGCGAGGCUAAGCUAAUCCCUUAAAANNNAUCUCAGUUCGGAUUGUACUCUGCAACUCGAGUGCAUGAAGUUGGAAUCGCUAGUAAUCGUGGAUCAGCACGCCACGGUGAAUACGUUCCCGGGUCUUGUACACACC